CAGCCGCCGCGGGAAUACGUAGGGUGCGAGCGUUAAUCGGAAUUACUGGGCGUAAAGCGUGCGCAGGCGGUGCUGCAAGACCGAUGUGAAAGCCCCGGGCUUAACCUGGGAACUGCAUUGGUGACUGCAGCGCUGGAGUAUGGCAGAGGGGGGUGGAAUUCCACGUGUAGCAGUGAAAUGCGUAGAGAUGUGGAGGAACACCGAUGGCGAAGGCAGCCCCCUGGGCCAAUACUGACGCUCAUGCACGAAAGCGUGGGGAGCAAACAGGAUUAGAUACCCCCGUAGUCCCUGUCUCUUAUAA
Molecule: ribosomal RNA, 301 nt
Filed under: uncultured bacterium
Lineage: Bacteria
Description: partial 16S ribosomal RNA
Rfam family: Bacterial small subunit ribosomal RNA
Source: RNAcentral